Molecule: ribosomal RNA, 441 nt
Filed under: uncultured Methylophaga sp.
Lineage: Bacteria; Pseudomonadati; Pseudomonadota; Gammaproteobacteria; Thiotrichales; Piscirickettsiaceae
Description: bacterial SSU rRNA
Rfam family: Bacterial small subunit ribosomal RNA
Source: RNAcentral
UGGGGAAUAUUGGACAAUGGGGGCAACCCUGAUCCAGCAAUGCCGCGUGUGUGAAGAAGGCCUUCGGGUUGUAAAGCACUUUCAAUAGGGAGGACAAGGUAUGCGUUAAUACCGUAUACCCGUGACGUUACCUAUAGAAGAAGCACCGGCUAACUCCGUGCCAGCAGCCGCGGUAAUACGGAGGGUGCAAGCGUUAAUCGGAAUUACUGGGCGUAAAGCGCGCGUAGGCGGUUUAUUAAGUCAGAUGUGAAAGCCCCGGGCUUAACCUGGGAACUGCAUUUGAGACUGGUAGGCUAGAGUGUGGUAGAGGUGAGUGGAAUUUCAGGUGUAGCGGUGAAAUGCGUAGAGAUCUGAAGGAACAUCAGUGGCGAAGGCGACUCACUGGGCCAUCACUGACGCUGAGGUGCGAAAGCGUGGGUAGCAAACAGGAUUAGAUACCCU